AUGCGGGGAAGCUGCGGGUGUUUAUUUUAUUAUUCCCGUGGUUUAUUCCCGUUGUUUUUCCCGUGGUUUAUUGGCAGGUGGACGCGGGGAAGCUGCGGGUGUUUAUUUCAUUAUUCCCGUGGUUUAUUCCUGUGGUUUAUUCCCAUUUUAAUUCCCAGGUGGACGCGGGGAAGCUGCGGGCGUUUAUUUCACAUUUUCCCAUUGUUUAUUCCCAUUUUAUCCAUGGUUUAUUCCCAGGACGCGGGGAAGCUGCGCGUGUUUAUUUUAUUGUUCCCGUGGUUUAUUCCUGUGGUUUAUUCCCGUGGUUUAUUGUCAGGUGGACGCGGGGAAGCUGCGGGUGUUUAUUCCCAGAUUUCCCGUGGUUUAUUCCCGUGGUUUAUUCCCAUUUUAACUCCCAGGUGGACGCGGGGAAGCUGCAGGUGUUUAUUUCACAUUUUCCCAUUGGUUAUUCCCAAUUUUCCGGUUGUUUUUCCCGUGGUUUAUUGUCAGGUGGACGCGGGGAAGCUGCGGGUGAUUAUUUACAUUUUCCCAUUGUUUAUUGCCAUUUUAAUUCCCGUGGUUUAUUGUCAGGUGGACGCGGGGAAGCUGUGGGUGUUUAUUUCAUUAUUCCCGUUGUUUAUUCCCAUCAUUUUUCCCGUGGUUUAUUCCCAGGUGGGCGCGGGGAAGCUGCGGGUAUUUAUGUCACAUUUUCCCGUUGUUUAUUCCCAAUUUUCCCAUUGUUUAUUCCCGUGGUUUAUUCCCAUUUUAAUUCCCAGGUGGAUGCAGGGAAGUUGUGGGUGUUUAUUUCACAUUUGCCCAUUGUUUAUUCCCGUUUUUCCUGUUUAUUCCCAGGUGGACACAGGGAAGCUGGGGGUGUUUAUUUCACAUUUUCCCGUUGUUUAUUCCCAAUUUUCUCAUUGUUUAUUGCCAAUUUUUCACAUUGUUUUUCCCGUUCCCAUUCCCAGGUGGACGCUGCAGGUGUUUAUUCCCCAUUUUCUCAUUGUUUUUCCAAAUGUCCCCACUGUUUAUUCCCAUUUUCCCCUUGUUUAUUCCCAGGUGGAUGCAGGCAAGCUGUGGGUGUUUAUUCUCGUUUUUCCCGGUGUUUAUUUCCAUUUUUCCCACUGUUUAUUCCCGUUUUUCCCGUGGUUUAUUCCCAGGUGGACGCGGGGAAGCUGCGAGUGUUUAUUUCAUUAUUCCCGUUGUUUAUUCCCGUCAUUUUUCCCGUGGUUUAUUCCCAGGUGGACGCGGGGAAGCUGCGGGUGGUGGACGAGAGCGAGGGCCGGCUCUGGGCCGAGAGCCGCGGAUUCCUCUACUGGGAGACGUCGGCGCAGAGCGGGGAGGGCAUCCAGGAGAUGUUCCAGGUGGGAAUUCCCAAAAAAAUCCGGGAAUUUCCUGGGAAUUCUGGCUUGGAAUUCUGGGUGGGAAUUCCUUGGGAGAUGUUCCAGGAGGGAAUUCCCAAAAAAAUCCGGGAAUUCUGGGAAUUUUUUGGGUGGGAAUCCUGGGAAUUUUUGGGAUUUUCCUGGGAAUUCUGGGUGGGAAUUCCAGGAGAUGUUCCAGGUGGGAAACCCCAAAAAUCUGGGAAUUAUGGGAAUUUUUUGGGUGGAAAUUCUGGGAAUUUUUGGGAUUCUCUUGGGAAUUCUGGGUGGAAAUUCCUGGUGGGAAUUCCAGGAGAUGUUCCAGGUGGGAAACCCCAAAAAAAUCCGGGAAUUCUGGGUGGAAAAAUCCGGGAAUUCCGGCUGGUGUUCCAGGUGGGAACUCCGGGAAUUCUGGGUGGAAGUUCUGGGAAUUCUGGGAAUUUUAGGGUGGGAAUUCUGGGAGAAGUUUUGGGAUUUUCCUGGGAAUUCUGGGUGGGAAUUGUGGGAAUUCCUUGGGAGAUGUUCCAGGUGGGGAUUCCCAAAAAAUCUGGGAAUUCUCAGAAUUUUUGGGUGGAAAUCCUGGGAAUUUUUGGGAUUCUCUUGGGAAUUGUGGGUGGGAAUUCCGGGAAUUUCUGGGUGGGAAUUCCAGGUGGGAAUUCCCAAAAAAAUCCGGGAAUUCUGAGAAUUUUUUGGUGGAAAUUCUGGGAAUUUUUGGGAUUCUCUUGGGAAUUCUGGGUGGAAAUUCUGGGUGGGAAUUCCAGGAGAUGUUCCAGGUGGGAAUUCCCAAAAAAAUCUGGGAAUUCUGGGUGGAAAAAUCCGGGAAUUCUGGCUGGUGUUCCAGGUGGGAACUCCAGUAAUUCUGAGUGGAAAUUCCGGGAAUUCUGGGAAUUUUUGGGUGGGAAUUCUGGGAGAAGUUUUGGGAUUCUCCUGGGAAUUCCGGGUGGGAAUUGUGGGAAUUCCUUGGGAGAUGUUCCAGGUGGGAAUUCCCAAAAAAAAUCCGGAAAUUCUGGGAAUUUUUGGGUGGGAAUUCUGGGAAUUUUUGGGAUUAUCCUGGGAAUUCUGGGUUGGAAUUCCGGGAAUUCUGGGUGGGAAUUCCAGGAGAUGUUCCAGGUGGGAAUUCCCUAAAAUCCGGGAAUUCUGGGAAUUUUUUGGGUGGGAAUUUUGGGGAUUUUCCUGGGAAUUCUGGCUUGGAAUUCUGGGUGGGAAUUCCGGGUGGGAAUUUACAAAAAAAUCCAGGAAUUCUGAGAAUUUUUGGGUGGAAAUUCUGGGUGGGAAUUCCCUGAGAGAUGGUCCAGGCUGGAAUUCCUUGGGAGAUGUUCCAGGAGGGAAUUCCCAAAUAUCCGAGGGGGAAUUCCGGGUGGGAAUUCCCAAAAAAAUCCAGGAAUUCUGGGAAUUUUUUGGGUGGGAAUUCUGGGAAUUUUGGGGAUUCUCCUGGGAAUUCUGGGUGGGAAUUCUGGGUGGGAAUUCCUUGGGAGAUGUUCCUGGUGGGAAUUUGGGAAUUCUGGGAGACGCUUCAGGUGGGAAUUGUCCCAGGAAUUCUGAGAAUUCUGGAAAUUCCAGGUGGGAUUUGGGGUGGGAACGAUCCAGGAGAUGUUCCAGGUGGGAAACCCCAAGAAAAUCCAGAAAUUCUGGGAAUUUUUGGGUGGAAAUUCUGGGAAUUUUUGGGAUUCUCCUGGGAAUUC
Long non-coding RNA from Zonotrichia albicollis (white-throated sparrow), 3016 nucleotides. The record is from Ensembl. NCBI's taxonomy places the organism in Eukaryota, Metazoa, Chordata, Aves, Passeriformes, Passerellidae.